GUAACAGGUUGCUUGUACCCAGGUUAUGUCAGGUAUUACUGAAGGUAUUUUAGGGGAUGGAGUAUGCAGACAAUGAGGUGCUUGCUAUUUGGCCUGCCCAAAACCAUAGAUAGGGCCCCCAUGAAAGGGUAGA
Long non-coding RNA from Lontra canadensis (Northern American river otter), 133 nucleotides. RefSeq lists it as uncharacterized. The transcript is spliced from 3 exons. Lineage: Eukaryota; Metazoa; Chordata; Mammalia; Carnivora; Mustelidae. The record is from RefSeq and is a predicted model, not a curated record.